UACAGAGGGGGCAAGCGUUGUUCGGAAUUACUGGGCGUAAAGCGCACGCAGGUGGCUGAGCGAGUCGAUUGUGAAAGCCCUGGGCUUAACCUGGGAAUUGCAGUCGAUACUACUCAGCUAGAGUAUGGGAGAGGGUAGUGGAAUUCCCGGUGUAGCGGUGAAAUGCGUAGAUAUGCGGAGGAACACCGAUGGCGAAGGCAAUCCCCUGGACCUGUACUGACGCUCAUGCACGAAAGCGUGGGGAGCAAACAGG
Molecule: ribosomal RNA, 253 nt
Filed under: uncultured bacterium
Lineage: Bacteria
Description: partial 16S ribosomal RNA
Rfam family: Bacterial small subunit ribosomal RNA
Source: RNAcentral